GAUGUCACAGCAGAGAUCACCUGCUGAGGUUCAAGUGAAAUGUUUUUACACGGUAACGUUUGAAGGGUCAAAUCCUCCAUCUCCACACAGUGACCCGUCCUCCAUCACAGUACGCAGUCAAAAACCACAGAUGACUCUUCAACAUGAACCCGGUGAAUACGUUCUCUUUUCCUGCACUCUGCCUGGAUCUGCUGAUCAUGAUGCGAGAUGUAACCUGUACUUUGGAGAAAAUAAUCAUCCAGUCCAAACAGCAACCAGCUGGAAGAAAAGGGAUUCUAAGAAUCGGCUGAUCUGCCAGUUUACUGUCAAAAUGUAUGACUUUCUAAGAAGUUUACAUCUUCUUAAAAGACAUGAUGCCAGCUGUGAUUAUAGUUUGGGAAGUGAAGCCAACUCUUUGUCUCCUCGUAGCGAUGGAUACAGCUUGACUGAUAUUGUGGAAAAAGAAUCAUGGAUGCUCUCCACAAAAUCAGCUACUAUCCCCCCAGAUAUCGUGGAAAAGGACACACGUUUGACGAAGACUAUGUUGACAUCUACUAUGACCACAGGUCUUACUGUUGGAUCAAGAAACACUGGUAGUUUUAUCUCUACUUCCAUAAAACCAGUGAAACCAACACAAGGUCAGAAUCCUUAUACGUCUAGCACUCAAGAUAUUUUCUCAUCUGUGAUCCCAGAGAACCCAUCACCAGAAACAUGGAAGUUGGUAAUUGUUGCGUCUUCUUUUGGAGGUGUUAUCGUACUGGGACUGGCAUUUCUAUUCACCAAAAGAACAACUGAUGCCAGUGGAUAUAUGGGAAAACUCAGCGGUGGAGAGGUAAUUCAACACUUCUGUAUGCAUCCAGUCAGUGAUCCUGCUGCUAACUCUCACUUUACCUUCCCCCUGUCUUCCUGAUAAAGUACUUACCGAGUGGUUAUGAUGAGACGUACAGCAUUGUGACUUAUGAACGCAGCAACAUCGAAUGACAAAUGCUGACCACAG
RNA transcript from Notothenia coriiceps (black rockcod), 976 nucleotides. RefSeq lists it as uncharacterized. Lineage: Eukaryota; Metazoa; Chordata; Actinopteri; Perciformes; Nototheniidae. The transcript has 9 exons. The record is from RefSeq and is a predicted model, not a curated record.